GUGACUGCGUACCUUUUGUAUAAUGGGUCAGCGACUUAUAUUCUGUAGCAAGGUUAACCGAAUAGGGGAGCCGGAGGGAAACCGAGUCUUAAUUGGGCGUUAAGUUGCAGGGUAUAGACCCGAAACCCGGUGAUCUAGCCAUGGGCAGGUUGAAGGUUGGGUAACACUAACUGGAGGACCGAACCGACUAAUGUUGAAAAAUUAGCGGAUGACCUGUGGCUGGGGGUGAAAGGCCAAUCAAACCGGGAGAUAGCUGGUUCUCCCCGAAAGCUAUUUAGGUAGCGCCUCGUGAACUCAUCUCCGGGGGUAGAGCACUGUUUCGGCUAGGGGGCCAUCCCGGCUUACCAACCCGAUGCAAACUGCGAAUACCGGAGAAUGUUAUCACGGGAGACACACGGCGGGUGCUAACGUCCGUCGUGAAGAGGGAAACAACCCAGACCGCCAGCUAAGGUCCCAAAGUCAUGGUUAAGUGGGAAACGAUGUGGGAAGGCCCAGACAGCCAGGAUGUUGGCUUAGAAGCAGCCAUCAUUUAAAGAAAGCGUAAUAGCUCACUGGUCGAGUCGGCCUGCGCGGAAGAUGUAACGGGGCUAAACCAUGCACCGAAGCUGCGGCAGCGAACGUAUCACUUAAAGCGAUUCAGCGGGUUACGAUUGACGGAGCGAAGCGACGUCAAAGCGUAUACAAAGUCGAGUCGGUUUAAGGAUACGUUCGUUGGGUAGGGGAGCGUUCUGUAAGCCUGUGAAGGUGGCCUGUGAGGGUUGCUGGAGGUAUCAGAAGUGCGAAUGCUGACAUAAGUAACGAUAAAGCGGGUGAAAAGCCCGCUCGCCGGAAGACCAAGGGUUCCUGUCCAACGUUAAUCGGGGCAGGGUGAGUCGACCCCUAAGGCGAGGCCGAAAGGCGUAGUCGAUGGGAAACGGGUUAAUAUUCCCGUACUUGGUGUUACUGCGAAGGGGGGACGGAGAAGGCUAUGUUGGCCGGGCGACGGUUGUCCCGGUUUAAGCGUGUAGGCUGGUUUUCCAGGCAAAUCCGGAAAAUCAAGGCUGAGGCGUGAUGACGAGGCACUACGGUGCUGAAGCAACAAAUGCCCUGCUUCCAGGAAAAGCCUCUAAGCAUCAGGUAACAUCAAAUCGUACCCCAAACCGACACAGGUGGUCAGGUAGAGAAUACCAAGGCGCUUGA
Molecule: ribosomal RNA, 1179 nt
Filed under: Salmonella enterica subsp. enterica serovar Newport
Lineage: Bacteria; Pseudomonadati; Pseudomonadota; Gammaproteobacteria; Enterobacterales; Enterobacteriaceae
Description: bacterial LSU rRNA
Rfam family: Bacterial large subunit ribosomal RNA
Source: RNAcentral